This is a non-coding RNA of Cinara cedri, 656 nucleotides long. Lineage: Eukaryota; Metazoa; Arthropoda; Insecta; Hemiptera; Aphididae. The record is from the annotation of a GenBank genome assembly.
GUACGGACAGUAUAGCGGCGAUAACGAACGAUUUGGCGACUCAUAAUACUGCAGCUGUUCGUCCGACAGUUAUUAAUCGUUACCGAUUUCUACAACGGCUCGUUAAAGUGAAUAUUUUACAACACGAUAUCAGAUUCUGUUCGAUUUUCCAACCGGCUGCGCAGCAAGUAGCCAAUAUUCAGUUAAAUUGGUUAAUUUAUGUUUUGAACUGCCGACUCUAUAACGUUGACACAACCAGCAGUAAGCUAAUAAUAAUAUUUUGUUGCAGAUUUAAAUUUUAUCAUGAAGAUGAUUUAUAUUUUUUAUUGUAUCGCGAUUUCGUUUUUAUAUUCGACCGCUGGAAAUGCAUUUAGCUUAUACAACAUCUUAGGUUCACCGUGUCCAGAUGGUUGUACAAAAAAUGCCGACGAAACUUUUUUGGCGUCUUGUGAAUCAGAUCUUUGCCAACAAGAUGGCUGUUACUGUUGUUGUUACACAGUUACUUAUUCAAGCAACUUAAAACGGAAAAAACAUCACAAUUUAUAAAUUAUUAUUAGCUAUACAGAGAAAUUUCGAAUCAUACAAACUACCGUAGUUAUCGGGUUUUUAAAUUCUUUACCGUGUAUAAUAUGUUAGCUUAUUCAUUUAAUAAACUACGACAAUAAAUUAUGUAUUUA